GAUGAACGCUGGCGGCGUGCCUAAUACAUGCAAGUCGAGCGAACGGACGAGAAGCUUGCUUCUCUGAUGUUAGCGGCGGACGGGUGAGUAACACGUGGAUAACCUACCUAUAAGACUGGGAUAACUUCGGGAAACCGUAGCUAAUACCGGAUAAUAUUUUGAACCGCAUGGUUCAAAAGUGAAAGACGGUCUUGCUGUCACUUAUAGAUGGAUCCGCGCUGCAUUAGCUAGUUGGUAAGGUAACGGCUUACCAAGGCAACGAUGCAUAGCCGACCUGAGAGGGUGAUCGGCCACACUGGAACUGAGACACGGUCCAGACUCCUACGGGAGGCAGCAGUAGGGAAUCUUCCGCAAAGGGCGAAAGCCUGACGGAGCAACGCCGCGCGAGUGAUGAAGGUCUUCGGAUCGUAAAACUCUGUUAUUAGGGAAGAACAUAUGUGUAAGUAACUGUGCACAUCUUGACGGUACCUAAUCAGAAAGCCACGGCUAACUACGUG
This 497-nucleotide ribosomal RNA is filed under the name uncultured bacterium. RNAcentral's name for it is "partial 16S ribosomal RNA". It matches the Rfam family "Bacterial small subunit ribosomal RNA", at positions 28 to 507 of the family's 1533-position model. The record is from RNAcentral.